Long non-coding RNA from Corvus hawaiiensis (hawaiian crow), 618 nucleotides. RefSeq lists it as uncharacterized. Lineage: Eukaryota; Metazoa; Chordata; Aves; Passeriformes; Corvidae. The transcript is spliced from 3 exons. The record is from RefSeq and is a predicted model, not a curated record.
CUUUGUCUGCCAUACCAGAUAGACCUGGCCCAAGUCACAGCUCAUCCUGGCAAACCAUCCCAGCCAGCAGAGUAGGCUGACUGCAGCCCUUUGUUAGCAAAGCACUGGUCAUUUCCUAAGCAGCACAGAAUGCUGCUGCAUGCUUUUAAACAUUUUUUUUCCUCACAGCCACCUACAUUGAAGGGAAAGGGAUAUAUUUACAUAAGUUGAAUAUGUGGAUAAAAGAUAAAAGUCAUGAAACAAGUUCUUGUACUAGUAUAAGUACUAUUCAUAGCCCAAAUUCAUUCCAAAGGAUUUUCUUCAUUCCAAGAGGACAAAGCAAGGAAAUGGAAAUAUAAGUUGGAAGGAAAUGUGGAGAAGGCUUAAAAUAGGAGUAACACCAAGGAUAAAAAUGUCAAGUCAAAACUGCUGUGUUGCUGAUUUUCCUUGGAAAACUGCAAGGAUUCUAACUACAACCAGUGGAAUCUCAAGUAAUAAGCCAUUUUCCCUUUUUUUUUUCCCACGGAAAGAUGCAAUGUCAAAAAUGAGAAUUUGGAACUUUACACAGCUCUUAGAGGAGGUUUAUUUCAGUGUCUUUUCUCUCAUGGGUAAAGACUUAUAAAAUUUUGAAUUUUUAUU